ACACGGAGGGCGCAAGCGUUGCUCGGAAUCACUGGGCGUAAAGCGGGUGUAGGCGGUCUAGCAAGCCAGAUGUGAAAGCCCACGGCUCAACCGUGGAAGUGCAUCUGAAACUGCUAGACUUGAGUGCCGGAGAGGGAAGUGGAAUUCCUGGUGUAGGGGUGAAAUCCGUAGAUAUCAGGAGGAACACCGGUGGCGAAGGCGACUUCCUGGACGGCCACUGACGCUGAGACCCGAAAGCGUGGGGAGCAAACAGGAUUAGAUACCCUAGUAGUCC
This 274-nucleotide ribosomal RNA is filed under the name uncultured bacterium. Its description in RNAcentral is "partial 16S ribosomal RNA". It matches the Rfam family "Bacterial small subunit ribosomal RNA", at positions 523 to 796 of the family's 1533-position model. The record is from RNAcentral.